CCUACGGGUGGCAGCAGUGGGGAAUAUUGGACAAUGGGCGAAAGCCUGAUCCAGCCAUGCCGCGUGUGUGAAGAAGGCCUUCGGGUUGUAAAGCACUUUCAGUGGGGAAGAAAGCCUUGGGGCUAAUACCCUCGAGGAAGGACAUCACCCACAGAAGAAGCACCGGCUAACUCCGUGCCAGCAGCCGCGGUAAUACGGAGGGUGCGAGCGUUAAUCGGAAUUACUGGGCGUAAAGCGCGCGUAGGCGGUCUGAUAAGCCGGUUGUGAAAGCCCCGGGCUCAACCUGGGAACGGCAUCCGGAACUGUCAGGCUAGAGUGCAGGAGAGGAAGGUAGAAUUCCCGGUGUAGCGGUGAAAUGCGUAGAGAUCGGGAGGAAUACCAGUGGCGAAGGCGGCCUACUGGACUGACACUGACGCUGAGGUGCGAAAGCGUGGGUAGCAAACAGGAUUAGAUACCCUUAUAGUC
RNAcentral lists this ribosomal RNA (465 nucleotides) under Vreelandella stevensii. Its description in RNAcentral is "partial 16S ribosomal RNA". It matches the Rfam family "Bacterial small subunit ribosomal RNA", at positions 338 to 795 of the family's 1533-position model. The record is from RNAcentral. Lineage: Bacteria; Pseudomonadati; Pseudomonadota; Gammaproteobacteria; Oceanospirillales; Halomonadaceae.